UUGAUGGAGUCGUCGUAAAACCGAAAAGCUUGGAGAAAGGAAUGCUCGUCCACUCUCAGGCAGCAGCACAGGGACUGCAAACCGACACUUUCGUGGCCAAUAGCUUAGUUGCCAUGUACUGCAAGUGUGGAAGCUUACUUGAUGCUCGCAUGGUCUUUGACAGGAUGCCAGUCUCAACUGUUGUGUCGUGGACGGCCUUGAUUCUCGCGCACGCUGAAAACGCACAAGCCGAGUUAGCACUGGAGUUCUUCAAGGCAAUCCAAAGUGACAAAACCUGUGAACUCGACUCCAGGGCUUACAUUGCAGCACUCGUGGCGUGUGGAGCUCUGACCGCACUCGAGGCUGGAAGACGAAUCCAUGCAGAAGUUUGCAAGCGGGGUUUCGACGGCGAAGUCUACGUUGCAAACGCUCUUGUCGACUUCUACGCCAAGUGUGGAAGCAUGGACGAAGCAAUGGCAGU
RNAcentral lists this long non-coding RNA (460 nucleotides) under Selaginella moellendorffii. RNAcentral describes it as "long non-coding RNA (SMOE_LNC001815)". The record is from RNAcentral. Lineage: Eukaryota; Viridiplantae; Streptophyta; Lycopodiopsida; Selaginellales; Selaginellaceae.